AGGAAUCGGACGCGUACACUAAGGUUCUGAGCGCGCCGUUCAGACCCAGCUGACGACUGCUCGCUACGUUUUGUUUGCC
Molecule: small RNA, 79 nt
Filed under: Xanthomonas dyei pv. eucalypti
Lineage: Bacteria; Pseudomonadati; Pseudomonadota; Gammaproteobacteria; Lysobacterales; Lysobacteraceae
Also listed under: 1 other name
Description: sX9 sRNA
Rfam family: Xanthomonas sRNA sX9
Source: RNAcentral